CCCAAGAGUUUCUGUUGCGUACUCGGUGAUGGAAACAUUUGCUUUUCUCUUUGCUUUUCAUCACCUCUAGGUUUUGAACAUCAGCCCUGUGGUGAGAGACAUCAUGAUGAAUGGAACCUUCCAAAUCAUCCGCCUUUAUUUCGCCGAGUUCACGAGCUACGACUGGAUUUCCUGGUUCACGCUGAAACUGAGUCCAGUCCUUCCCAGCUUGACUGCAGAGAUGCUCCAGACAGUAACAUCAUAUACCGACUGCAACGCAUACCACAUCAUGUACGUAACGCUUUCCAUAUGCUAGCCAGCUCUGCAAUGUUUUCAGUUAACUGCAUCAUGCUUAGAUUUCUUCUGCCGUGUUUUGAUCCAAUCUAGCGUCGGGGCUCUGAGCAGCCACUUUGAGCAGAUGACAUCGCUGAGACAGCAGGAGCUCACCGCAGUCCUGUUGGGCUACCUAAAGCAGAGUCAGGCAUCAGGUAGGUCCAGCAUAGGCAGAGCUUGUUUGUCUUGUGGGCUAAAUAAAAUAUCAAUUCUUGGUGUCUGUGCAUCUUCGUCCGUCCUAACGAGUCUCUUUUGCACGUCCCUGUCGCAGGCUCAACCUGUGGGUCCGACACCAGCAGCCUCAGUGUUUGGCUUGAAGAGAGCUUUGGCAAAUUCUCUGUCUACGUGGACUACCAAGACCUGCGUGCACUCAACGAGGCAUUUGGAAGUUUCCAGGCACUGGACCUUCUGAGUGCCUCUCAAGUUGCUCAGCUGACCCUAACAUCUGGAGCGCUGAACAACGCAGAUCUGAUCACCAUGGUCUUUGAGCGUCUUGACGGCAGCAAUGCUUUCCAGGAUGUGGACCAGUUCUUGACGGUUCUCACCCAGACCUCGCAGGUACGUUCCCAUCCAUGAGAUAGCAAGCGCGCAGCUGUUCCGCUUUGUUUAGAAAAUUGUUAAAACAAGAUAGCCCGGGACAUUUUGUGUUGUACUCUGAAAUGGGAAUGUUGCCUUUCCUUUUGUUUGACCAUGAUUUUAGUACCCGACCCUGACCGUAGCCCAACAUAGCCCAAGAGUUUCUGUUGCGUACUCGGUGAUGGAAACAUUUGCUUUUCUCUUUGCUUUUCAUCACCUCUAGGUUUUGAACAUCAGCCCUGUGGUGAGAGACAUCAUGAUGAAUGGAACCUUCCAAAUCAUCCGCCUUUAUUUCGCCGAGUUCACGAGCUACGACUGGAUUUCCUGGUUCACGCUGAAACUGAGUCCAGUCCUUUCCAGCUUGACUGCAGAGAUGCUCCAGACAGUAACAUCAUAUACCGACUGCAACGCAUACCACAUCAUGUACGUAACGCUUUCCAUAUGCUAGCCAGCUCUGCAAUGUUUUCAGUUAACUGCGUCAUGCUUAGAUUUCUUCUGCCGUGUUUUGAUCCAAUCUAGCGUCGGGGCUCUGAGCAGCCACUUUGAGCAGAUGACAUCGCUAAGACAGCAGGAGCUCACCGCAGUCCUGUUGGGCUACCUAAAGCAGAGUCAGGCAUCAGGUAGGUCCAGCAUAUUCAGCGCUUGUUUGUCUUGUGGGCUAAAUAAAAUAUCAAUACUUGGUGUCUGUGCAUCUUCGUCCGUCCUAACGAGUCUCUUUUGCACGUCCCUGUCGCAGGCUCAACCUGUGGGUCCGACACCAGCAGCCUCAGUGUUUGGCUUGAAGAGAGCUUUGGCAAAUUCUCUGUCUACGUGGACUACCAAGACCUGCGUGCACUCAACGAGGCAUUUGGAAGUGUAAGGGGCCCACCGUGCCACUUGGUUGUUCUGGUGACUGCUUUGAGCAUGCACGUUGUUUCUACAGACGUUGUUGUUGUUGUUUUCCCUUCUGCAGUUCCAGGCACUGGACCUUCUGAGUGCCUCUCAAGUUGCUCAGCUGACCCUAACAUCUGGAGCGCUGAACAACGCAGAUCUGAUCACCAUGGUCUUUGAGCGUCUUGACGGCAGCAAUGCUUUCCAGGAUGUGGACCAGUUCUUGACGGUUCUCACCCAGACCUCGCAGGUACGUUCCCAUCCAUGAGAUGGCAAGCGCGCAGCUGUUCCGCUUUGU
This is a long non-coding RNA of Danio rerio (zebrafish), 2056 nucleotides long. NCBI's taxonomy places the organism in Eukaryota, Metazoa, Chordata, Actinopteri, Cypriniformes, Danionidae. The record is from Ensembl.